RNAcentral lists this long non-coding RNA (253 nucleotides) under Setaria italica (foxtail millet). RNAcentral describes it as "long non-coding RNA (SITA_LNC004144)". The record is from RNAcentral. Lineage: Eukaryota; Viridiplantae; Streptophyta; Magnoliopsida; Poales; Poaceae.
UCACGAGCUUAUUUUCGUAGUACGUACAGAGGCUGCGUGCAAGCACGCCAGCAAAGUACGUGGAUAAGGUAGACCUCGCACACACAAACUUACAAUUUCAUACAUACGGAGGACAUGCACAUACACGUACGCGAUACCUGCCUCCGGCCCAAUCCAGAUACGUGCGUCGUCGUCGAUCGAGCCCGCGUGAAGCCGAUCUCAGUCGGACCUGACGACGUAGCUCUCCUUGCGCUCGUGGAACUCGCCGGUGCAG